Non-coding RNA from Powellomyces hirtus, 73 nucleotides. The record is from the annotation of a GenBank genome assembly. NCBI's taxonomy places the organism in Eukaryota, Fungi, Chytridiomycota, Chytridiomycetes, Spizellomycetales, Powellomycetaceae.
UCACUUUUGGCUUAGUGGUUAAAGUGUGGUAUUCUGAAUCAAAAGUCCUAGGGUUCAAACCUUAGGGGCUUAA